AGAGUUUGAUCAUGGCUCAGGACGAACGCUGGCGGUACGCUUAACACAUGCAAGUCGAACGGGAUCUUCGGAUCCAGUGGCGCACGGGUGAGUAAUGUACAGGAAUCUGCCUCUAGGUGGGGGAUAGCUCGGUGAAAACUGAAUUAAUCCCGCAUAAUGCCCUCGGGUGAAAGUCGCAAGACGCCAAGAGAUGAGCCUGUAUCUGAUUAGCUAGUUGGUAGGGUAAAGGCCUACCAAGGCGACGAUCAGUAGCUGGUUUGAGAAGAUGAUCAGCCACAGUGGAACUGAGACACGGUCCACACUCCUACGGGAGGCAGCAGUGGGGAAUAUUCCGCAAUGGGCGAAAGCCUGACGGAGCGAUACCGCGUGUAGGAUGAAGGCUUUAGGGUCGUAAACUACUGUCGACGGGGAAGAAAAAAAUGACGGUACCCGUAAAGGAAGCACCGGCUAACUCUGUGCCAGCAGCCGCGGUAAGACAGAGGGUGCAAGCGUUGUCCGGAUUUAUUGGGCGUAAAACGUCUGUAGUCGGUUUAUUAAGUCUGGGGUUAAAUGGCUUGGCUCAACCAAGUCCUGCCUUGGAUACUGAUGAACUAGAGUGUGUCAGGGGUUAGUGGAAUUCCCGGUGUAGCGGUGGAAUGCGUAGAUAUCGGGAGGAACUCCAGUGGCGAAGGCGACUA
Molecule: ribosomal RNA, 677 nt
Filed under: uncultured eukaryote
Lineage: Eukaryota
Description: bacterial SSU rRNA
Rfam family: Bacterial small subunit ribosomal RNA
Source: RNAcentral